Molecule: ribosomal RNA, 256 nt
Filed under: uncultured bacterium
Lineage: Bacteria
Description: partial 16S ribosomal RNA
Rfam family: Bacterial small subunit ribosomal RNA
Source: RNAcentral
CGGCCGCGUCGACGAAAUGCGUAGAGAUCAGGAAGAACAUCGGUGGCGAAGGCGCUCUGCUGGACCAUAACUGACACUCAGGGACGAAAGCUAGGGAGGCGAAUAGGGAGUUAGUAUACCCACGUAGUCCUACGCGUAACGAAUGAGUACUAGGUGUUGUCUGUAUCGACCCGGACCGAGUGCCGUACGCUAACGACGUUAAGUAAUCCCGCCCUGGGGAGGUACGCACGCAAGUGUGAAACUACAAGGAAUUGAC